GCCAUCAUUAACAAUAUAAAAAAUAACAAAAUCUGGAAAGGAUUUGGAGAAGAGGGAACCCUCCUACACUGUUGGUGGGAAUGUAAUUUGGAAAUUAUUAUGGAGAUUCCUCAGAAAACUAAAAAUACAAGUACAGUAUGAUCCAGCAAUCCCACCCCUGGGCAUAUAUCCAAGCAAAACUAUAACUCAAAAAAAGACACAUGCACCCCUAUGUUCAUAGCAGCACUAUUCACAGUAGCCAAGACAUGGAAACAGCCUAAAUGUCCAUCAACAGAUAAAUGAAUUAAGAUGUGGUACAUAUAUGCAAUGGAAUACUACUCAGCCGUAAAAAGAAUGAAUUAAUGUCAUUUGCAGCAACAUGGAUGCAACUAGAGAUUCUCAUACUAAGAAGGGCAUACUAUAUGAUAUCAGUUAUAUGUGGAAUCUAAAAUAUGGCACAAAUGAACCUAUCUACAAAACAGAAACAGACUCACAUAGAGAACAGACUGGUGGUUGCCAAGGGGGAAGAGGGAGGGAGUGGAAUGGACUGGAAGUUUGCAGUUAGUAAAUGCAAACUAUUAUAUUUAGAAUGGAUAAGUAAUGAGAUCAUGCUAUAUAGCACAGGGAGCUGUAUCUAAUCUCUUGGGAUAGACCAUGAUGGAAGAUAAUAUAAGAAAAAGAAUGCAUAUAUGUAUAUAACUGAGUCACUUUACCAUACAGCAGAAUUUGACACAACAUUGUGAAUCAGAUAUACUUAAAAAUUAUAUAUAUAUAUAUACAUAUAUAUAUAUAUAUAUAUAGCUUUUUUUCAGGGCUGCACCUGUGGCAAAUGGAGGUUCCCAGGCUAAGGGUCAAAUCAGAGCUACAGCUGCCGGCCUAUGCCACAGCCACAGCAAUGUGGGAUUUGAGCCGUGUCUGCCACCUACAACAGAGCUCAUGGCAACACCAGAUCCUUAACCCACUGAGCAAGACCAUGGAUCAAACCUCAUGGAUACUGAUUAGAUUUGUUACCAGUGAGCCAUGAUGGGAACUCCAAAAAAAUAAUUUUUAAAAAAUUAUAGGAGCAGCAUCCAGAAUUACAUUCCCUAAAGCUGAGUAUAAGCACUGUUGCCAGUUUCUGUCCCAGGCAUCUAGCUCACAGAGCUCACUCAAAACCUGGCGGUGUGAAGACCCUUCCCUUUAGACCAUAACUAGAAUCCAUGACUUAGAAUGGUCCUUGCCUUAGAUCAAUCACUUGGACACUAAGCCACACUUUUGCAUCUCUUAGUGAUUGUUUAUCUGCCCUUUAUUUUCUGUAUCAUGCCAUCAGAUGUAAUCCUCAGAAGUAAUGCACACUUGCCUCUAACAACCAUUAGCAAUCCAUUACAUGUGGGUCUGAAUUUGUAGAUUCAGUUCAAAUAUCAAAUCUCUAACAGAAGGUAAUAAUAAUAAAGAUUUAAAAAAACUUUGAGAGCUUGGAAAAACAUUUUCAAUAUUAAUAACAAAUAUAAUCAGAACAAAACGAAAGCUAUUGUGAAAGUUCUAUCAGAAAGUAAAUUUUGUAAUUCAGUGACAACAUGGAAGAGGAAUUCGUUUCAUGUGUGUUAUAGAGGAUAUUUUAUUUUGCAGACAGAACCACUGAUGUGCAGUGUUGGAAUCAUUUUUUUUUUUUGGUAUAUUCAUGUUACAUGUAUUAAGGGAGAAGUCCUUAACAACUUGUUCUAUUCAUCCCUGAAAACCAUGAAUGGAGAAAACAAGGUUACACUGAGAAGUAAGUUUUGGUGAGGACUAGAAAGGAUGUGUCAUGAUCUUUAACGAUGGAACACCAGCCAUUUGGGGAGCAACGAAUAUGAUGUUUAGGUAAAUAAAAGUGUUAUGCUCAUUCCCUUCUUAAAAGAGAACUGUUACUAUCAACAGUAAACUGUCAAGAUGUUGAUUCAGUGCCUAAGGGGAAAGAAAAUAACGAAUUUUAUUCCUAUGUCUACACCAUGUUUAGAAUGCUGUAUGAAAAACUGGGCAGGAGGUUGAACAAAACUUUUUCCUCAAUACUGUGUUUUCAGAGGAAAGGUGUCUAUUCCACGUGAGUUUUGUUUCAUUUUGUUAAGGGCUGCAUCUGCAGCAUAUGGAAGUUCCUAGUCUAGGGGUCGAAUCAGAGCUGCAGCUGCCAGCCCACCCCACAAGCCACAGCAAUGCCAGAUCUGAGCUGCAUCUGCAACCUACACCACAGCUCACAGCAAUGCCGAUCCUUAAGCCAGUGAGCGAGACCUGGGAUAGAACCCACAUCCUCAUGGUUAUUAGUUAGGUUCCUUACCACUGAGCCACAACAGGAAUUCUCAUGUGAGUUUUGAGAUAAGUACAGAGAUUAAAAGUAUUUCUUUGAGACACUGUAAAGGGCUUUUCUCCUUGGUUUUAGGUGCCUUGGUCAUUUGGCACAUCAACCAGUUGACCUACUGACUUAAAGAGACAUCCCUCCAAGGAGGUGAAUUGUAAUGGCAAAGAGAUCAGAUAUUUUAAGAUUACACAACUCUUUUGCAAAUGAUUUAGCAGUGCAGAGCUUUAUCCCCAUUCAAUUUCCAUCUCAUUUUCUUGGCCUAAUGCAAGCAUACGACUGAAAAAGUUUUUGUACAGAGCAAAAGGUUUUGUAUAUCACAUGCCUAUUAUAAUACCACAGCAAUGACAAGCUUCCUCUUUCUGUAUGAACAUGGUAAUACAUAACAAUUGUGGGGAAAAAUAAAACUGCUUACAUAUCAUUCUUACAGAAGUUCAACAAACUGUACACUAAAAACUUAUGCUGACUUUUUUUUUCUUUCAGAGUUUGGAACAGAGAAAGGUUAUUGCAAAGCCAUGCAAGGAGAAUGGUGGCUCAUGCCCCUAAAACCCUGAACUGAAUUCAUGUUGACUUUAUUAUAUACAGAAAAAAAAAGCAAUCAUUUUUCUUACAAACAAUUUAACUGGGAUUAUAACCUAUUACCUGCAUUUUUAAGCAACCAUUCAAUACUCUUAUUUGCUGUCCUUUUAUAACUCCUAUAUUCUGGCAGUUUGCCAGAGAGCAUUUCAUUAUCUCUUUUUAUUUUCUACUCAAGGCAACUUUGAAACAAUUUUCAGUACUGGAGUGAAAAAACUUAAAAACAAAAACAAAAACAAAACCCAGGGAGUUCCCACUGUGGCUCAGCUGGUUAAGAACCCAAGUGUCCUUGAGGAUGUGGGUUCAAUCCCUGGCCUCACUAGGUAGGUUAAGGAUCCAGCAUUUUUCCAAGCUGCAGCAUGGGUCUCAGAUGCAGCUCAGAUCUGGUGUUGCUGUGGCUACGGUGUAGGCUGACAGCUGCAACUCCAAUUUGACCCCUACUCCUCCAGGACUUCCAUGUGCUAAAGAUGCUCCCUUAAAUAAAAACAAAAAAACAACUAUUUUCAGGGGUCAGAUCACUAAGGCAGAGUAGGAGAACAUGGAACUCCCAUCCACCCCCCACCAAACACAUCAAAAAUACAUCUAGGAGUUCCCGUCGUGGCGCAGUGGUUAACGAAUCCGACUAGGAACCGUGAGGUUGUGGGUUCCAUCCCUGGCCUUGCUCAGUGGGUUAACGAUCUGGCGUUGCCGUGAGCUGUGGUGUAGGUUGCAGACGCGGCUCGGAUCCCGCGUUGCUGUGGCUCUGGCGUAGGCGGGUGGCUACAGCUCCGAUUAGACCCCUAGCCUGGCAACCUCCAUAUGCCGCGGGAGCGGCCCAAGAAAUAGCAACAACAACAACAA
RNAcentral lists this long non-coding RNA (3703 nucleotides) under Sus scrofa (pig). RNAcentral describes it as "lncRNA (ENSSSCG00000062045.1)". The record is from RNAcentral. Lineage: Eukaryota; Metazoa; Chordata; Mammalia; Artiodactyla; Suidae.